Molecule: ribosomal RNA, 1004 nt
Filed under: Escherichia coli
Lineage: Bacteria; Pseudomonadati; Pseudomonadota; Gammaproteobacteria; Enterobacterales; Enterobacteriaceae
Description: partial 23S ribosomal RNA
Rfam family: Bacterial large subunit ribosomal RNA
Source: RNAcentral
AUGAGGCGAACCGGGGGAACUGAAACAUCUAAGUACCCCGAGGAAAAGAAAUCAACCGAGAUUCCCCCAGUAGCGGCGAGCGAACGGGGAGGAGCCCAGAGCCUGAAUCAGUGUGUGUGUUAGUGGAAGCGUCUGGAAAGGCGCGCGAUACAGGGUGACAGCCCCGUACACAAAAAUGCACAUGCUGUGAGCUCGAUGAGUAGGGCGGGACACGUGGUAUCCUGUCUGAAUAUGGGGGGACCAUCCUCCAAGGCUAAAUACUCCUGACUGACCGAUAGUGAACCAGUACCGUGAGGGAAAGGCGAAAAGAACCCCGGCGAGGGGAGUGAAAAAGAACCUGAAACCGUGUACGUACAAGCAGUGGGAGCACGCUUAGGCGUGUGACUGCGUACCUUUUGUAUAAUGGGUCAGCGACUUAUAUUCUGUAGCAAGGUUAACCGAAUAGGGGAGCCGAAGGGAAACCGAGUCUUAACUGGGCGUUAAGUUGCAGGGUAUAGACCCGAAACCCGGUGAUCUAGCCAUGGGCAGGUUGAAGGUUGGGUAACACUAACUGGAGGACCGAACCGACUAAUGUUGAAAAAUUAGCGGAUGACUUGUGGCUGGGGGUGAAAGGCCAAUCAAACCGGGAGAUAGCUGGUUCUCCCCGAAAGCUAUUUAGGUAGCGCCUCGUGAAUUCAUCUCCGGGGGUAGAGCACUGUUUCGGCAAGGGGGUCAUCCCGACUUACCAACCCGAUGCAAACUGCGAAUACCGGAGAAUGUUAUCACGGGAGACACACGGCGGGUGCUAACGUCCGUCGUGAAGAGGGAAACAACCCAGACCGCCAGCUAAGGUCCCAAAGUCAUGGUUAAGUGGGAAACGAUGUGGGAAGGCCCAGACAGCCAGGAUGUUGGCUUAGAAGCAGCCAUCAUUUAAAGAAAGCGUAAUAGCUCACUGGUCGAGUCGGCCUGCGCGGAAGAUGUAACGGGGCUAAACCAUGCACCGAAGCUGCGGCAGCGACACUAUG